GCCCUUAGAGUUUGAUCCUGGCUCAGGAUGAACGCUGGCGGCGUGCCUAAUACAUGCAAGUCGAACGAAUCUCUUUUAGAGAUGAGUGGCGAACGGGUGAGUAAUACAUAGGUAACCUGCCCCUGUGCGGGGGAUAACAGGAGGAAACUCCUGCUAAUACCGCAUAGCCAUGAGCACCGCAUGGAGCUCAUGCCAAAUAUCCUUUAUGGGAUAGCGCAGGGAUGGACCUAUGGCGCAUUAGCUGGUUGGCGGGGCAACGGCCCACCAAGGCAACGAUGCGUAGCCGGCCUGAGAGGGCGGACGGCCACAUUGGGACUGUGACACGGCCCAGACUCCUACGGGAGGCAGCAGUAGGGAAUUUUCGGCAAUGGGGGAAACCCUGACCGAGCAACGCCGCGUGAGCGAAGAAGGCCUUCGGGUCGUAAAGCUCUGUUGUAAAGGAAGAACGGCGCAUACAGGAAAUGGUAUGCGAGUGACGGUACUUUACCAGAAAGCCACGGCUAACUACGUGCCAGCAGCCGCGGUAAUACGUAGGUGGCGAGCGUUAUCCGGAAUCAUUGGGCGUAAAGAGGGAGCAGGCGGCCGCAAGGGUCUGUGGUGAAAGCCCGAAGCUAAACUUCGGUAAGCCAUGGAAACCGGGCGGCUAGAGUGCGGAAGAGGAUCGUGGAAUUCCAUGUGUAGCGGUGAAAUGCGUAGAUAUAUGGAGGAACACCAGUGGCGAAGGCGACGGUCUGGGCCGCAACUGACGCUCAUUCCCGAAAGCGUGGGGAGCAAAUAGGAUUAGAUACCCUAGUAGUCCACGCCGUAAACGAUGGUCACUAAGUGUCGGGGGUCAAACCCCGGUGCUGCAGUCAACGCAAUAAGUGACCCGCCUGAGUAGUACGUUCGCAAGAAUGAAACUCAAAGGAAUUGACG
RNAcentral lists this ribosomal RNA (915 nucleotides) under uncultured bacterium. Its description in RNAcentral is "bacterial SSU rRNA". It matches the Rfam family "Bacterial small subunit ribosomal RNA", at positions 1 to 915 of the family's 1533-position model. The record is from RNAcentral.